RNAcentral lists this ribosomal RNA (253 nucleotides) under uncultured bacterium. RNAcentral's name for it is "partial 16S ribosomal RNA". It matches the Rfam family "Bacterial small subunit ribosomal RNA", at positions 524 to 776 of the family's 1533-position model. The record is from RNAcentral.
UACGUAGGGUGCGAGCGUUAAUCGGAAUUACUGGGCGUAAAGCGUGCGCAGGCGGCGCCGUAAGUCGAGUGUGAAAUCCCCGAGCUUAACUUGGGAAUUGCGCUCGAAACUACGGUGCUGGAGUGUGGCAGAGGGAGGUGGAAUUCCACGUGUAGCGGUGAAAUGCGUAGAGAUGUGGAGGAACACCGAUGGCGAAGGCAGCCUCCUGGGCCAACACUGACGCUCAUGCACGAAAGCGUGGGGAGCAAACAGG